UACGUAGGCAGCAAGCGUUGUUCGGAGUUACUGGGCGUAAAGGGCGCGUAGGCGGACAGUUUAGUCAGAGGUGAAAGCCCAGGGCUCAACCUUGGAAUUGCCUUUGAUACUGGCUGUCUUGAGUUCGGGAGAGGUGAGUGGAAUGCCGAGUGUAGAGGUGAAAUGCGUAGAGAUGUGGAGGAACACCAGUGGCGAAGGCGGCUCUCUGGUCUGUAACUGACGCUGAGGCGCGAAAGCGUGGGGAGCGAACAGG
Molecule: ribosomal RNA, 253 nt
Filed under: uncultured bacterium
Lineage: Bacteria
Description: partial 16S ribosomal RNA
Rfam family: Bacterial small subunit ribosomal RNA
Source: RNAcentral